RNAcentral lists this ribosomal RNA (497 nucleotides) under uncultured bacterium. RNAcentral describes it as "partial 16S ribosomal RNA". It matches the Rfam family "Bacterial small subunit ribosomal RNA", at positions 28 to 507 of the family's 1533-position model. The record is from RNAcentral.
GAUGAACGCUGGCGGCGUGCCUAAUACAUGCAAGUCGAGCGAACAGAUGAGGAGCUUGCUCCUCUGACGUUAGCGGCGGACGGGUGAGUAACACGUGGAUAACCUACCUAUAAGACUGGGAUAACUUCGGGAAACCGGAGCUAAUACCGGAUAAUAUAUUGAACCGCAUGGUUCAAUAGUGAAAGGCGGUUUUGCUGUCACUUAUAGAUGGAUCCGCGCCGCAUUAGCUAGUUGGUAAGGUAACGGCUUACCAAGGCAACGAUGCGUAGCCGACCUGAGAGGGUGAUCGGCCACACUGGAACUGAGACACGGUCCAGACUCCUACGGGAGGCAGCAGUAGGGAAUCUUCCGCAAUGGGCGAAAGCCUGACGGAGCAACGCCGCGUGAGUGAUGAAGGUCUUCGGAUCGUAAAACUCUGUUAUUGGGGAAGAACAAAUGUGUAAGUAACUAUGCACGUCUUGACGGUACCUAAUCAGAAAGCCACGGCUAACUACGUG